Molecule: small nuclear RNA, 103 nt
Filed under: Mus pahari (shrew mouse)
Lineage: Eukaryota; Metazoa; Chordata; Mammalia; Rodentia; Muridae
Description: predicted gene, 25464 (MGP_PahariEiJ_G0033835.1)
Source: RNAcentral
AUGCUCCCUUCAGCAGCACACAGACUAAAAUUGGAAAGACACUGAGGUUAGUUUUGCCUUUCUGCAAAGAUGACAUGCAAGUUCAGGAAGAAUUCUGUGUUCU